This 698-nucleotide ribosomal RNA is filed under the name uncultured bacterium. Its description in RNAcentral is "bacterial SSU rRNA". It matches the Rfam family "Bacterial small subunit ribosomal RNA", at positions 1 to 675 of the family's 1533-position model. The record is from RNAcentral.
AGGGGUUUGGUAUCAUGGGGCUCAGAGCGAACGCUGGCGGCGUGCCUAACACAUGCAAGUCGCACGAGAAAGGGGUGGCAACACCCCCGGUAAAGUGGCGAACGGGUGAGUAACACGUGGGUAACCUACCCCCGGGUCAGGAAUAACCUGCCGAAAGGCGGGCUAAUACCGGAUAAUGACCGGGGAUCCUCGGAUCCCCUGUCCAAAGCCGACCUCUUCACGAAAGUUGGCGCCUAGGGAGGGGCCCGCGUCCCAUUAGCUAGUUGGUGAGGUAAUGGCUCACCAAGGCUCCGAUGGGUAGCCGGCCUGAGAGGGCGACCGGCCACAGUGGAACUGAGACACGGUCCACACUCCUACGGGAGGCAGCAGUGAGGAAUCUUGCGCAAUGGGCGAAAGCCUGACGCAGCGACGCCGCGUGGACGAUGAAGGCCUUCGGGUCGUAAAGUCCUGUCGGGUGGGAAGAAUUGGUCCGGGGCUAAUAUCUCCGGAUCUUGACUGUACCACUAGAGGAAGCCCCGGCUAACUCCGUGCCAGCAGCCGCGGUAAUACGGAGGGGGCCAGCGUUGCUCGGAAUUAUUGGGCGUAAAGGGCGCGUAGGCGGCCGAGCAAGUUUGAUGUGAAAUCCCACGGCUCAACCGUGGAAUUGCAUCUCAUACUGCCCGGCUGGAGUCUGGGAGAGGGAAGUGGAAUUCCCGGUG